RNAcentral lists this microRNA precursor (58 nucleotides) under Oreochromis niloticus (Nile tilapia). RNAcentral describes it as "microRNA oni-mir-10729 precursor". The record is from miRBase by way of RNAcentral. Lineage: Eukaryota; Metazoa; Chordata; Actinopteri; Cichliformes; Cichlidae.
UAAGGCUGAACCAAUGGACUGUGCAUUUCUAUCAAGUUCAAGGGUCUCGGCCUCAUCU